AUUGAACGCUGGCGGCAGGCCUAACACAUGCAAGUCGAGCGGAUGAAGGGAGCUUGCUCCUGGAUUCAGCGGCGGACGGGUGAGUAAUGCCUAGGAAUCUGCCUGGUAGUGGGGGAUAACGUCCGGAAACGGGCGCUAAUACCGCAUACGUCCUGAGGGAGAAAGUGGGGGAUCUUCGGACCUCACGCUAUCAGAUGAGCCUAGGUCGGAUUAGCUAGUUGGUGGGGUAAAGGCCUACCAAGGCGACGAUCCGUAACUGGUCUGAGAGGAUGACCAGUCACACUAGAACUGAGACACGGUCCAGACUCCUACGGGAGGCAGCAGUGGGGAAUAUUGGACAAUGGGCGAAAGCCUGAUCCAGCCAUGCCGCGUGUGUGAAGAAGGUCUUCGGAUUGUAAAGCACUUUAAGUUGGGAGGAAGGGCAGUAAGUUAAUACCUUGCUGUUUUGACGUUACCAACAGAAUAAGCACCGGCUAACUUCGUG
This 484-nucleotide ribosomal RNA is filed under the name uncultured bacterium. Its description in RNAcentral is "partial 16S ribosomal RNA". It matches the Rfam family "Bacterial small subunit ribosomal RNA", at positions 30 to 507 of the family's 1533-position model. The record is from RNAcentral.